AACCUUAUGGACCUGCGGGCGUAUACCUGCGGAGGGAUCAUUACCUAGAGUUGUAGGCUUUGCCUGCUAUCUCUUACCCAUGUCUUUUGAGUACCUUACGUUUCCUCGGUGGGUUCGCCCGCCGGUUGGACAAAACUUAAACCCUUUGUAGUUGCAAUCAGCGUCUGAAAAAACUUAAUAGUUACAACUUUCAGCAACGGAUCU
Molecule: unclassified non-coding RNA, 204 nt
Filed under: soil metagenome
Description: partial contains 5.8S ribosomal RNA, internal transcribed spacer 2, and large subunit ribosomal RNA
Source: RNAcentral